This 29-nucleotide non-coding RNA is filed under the name Rattus norvegicus (Norway rat). Lineage: Eukaryota; Metazoa; Chordata; Mammalia; Rodentia; Muridae. The record is from RNAcentral.
UCUUUCUUUGAGUCUUAGAUGAGUGGAAU